Molecule: ribosomal RNA, 497 nt
Filed under: uncultured bacterium
Lineage: Bacteria
Description: partial 16S ribosomal RNA
Rfam family: Bacterial small subunit ribosomal RNA
Source: RNAcentral
GAUGAACGCUGGCGGCGUGCCUAAUACAUGCAAGUCGAGCGAACGGACGAGAAGCUUGCUUCUCUGAUGUUAGCGGCGGACGGGUGAGUAACACGUGGAUAACCUACCUAUAAGACUGGGAUAACUUCGGGAAACCGUAGCUAAUACCGGAUAAUAUUUUGAACCGCAUGGUUCAAAAGUGAAAGACGGUCUUGCUGUCACUUAUAGAUGGAUCCGCGCUGCAUUAGCUAGUUGGUAAGGUAACGGCUUACCAAGGCAACGAUGCAUAGCCGACCUGAGAGGGUGAUCGGACACAAAGGAACUGAGAGAAGGUCCAGACUCUUAAGGGAGGCAGAAGUAGGGAAUCUUCCGAAACGGGCGAAAGCCUGACGGAGCAAAGCAGCGUGAGUGAUGAAGGUCUUCGGAUCGUAAAACUCUGUUAAUAGGGAAGAACAUAUGUGUAAGUAACAGUGCACAUAUUGACGGUACCUAAUCAGAAAGACAAGGAUAAAUACGGG